This is a long non-coding RNA of Artibeus jamaicensis (Jamaican fruit-eating bat), 1689 nucleotides long. RefSeq lists it as uncharacterized. The record is from RefSeq and is a predicted model, not a curated record. The transcript is spliced from 3 exons. Lineage: Eukaryota; Metazoa; Chordata; Mammalia; Chiroptera; Phyllostomidae.
GCUCAAAUAGGCGUGGCCAUCAGCUGAAGGUAAUCCGGCGAUUCUCUGCGCGGAACUCAGGGGGUGCGGGGUUCUUGGUCCUGCCGCCGGAGCCAUCGCGCUCGCCGAGACGCGCUCUGUGCGCACCCUCGGCCGGUCCCGGGGCGCCACCAUGUCUCCGCUGCCCGCACCUCUCCGGGAGCGACGCCCCUGCCGCCGCCCGCCGGCCGUGCCGCGCUCGCGCAGGCGUCCGCCAUCGCCCUCCCGCGGAAACCGUGCAGAACUAGUACUUUCUCCAUUUUUCCCCGGCCGGAAACCCGCAUGGCUGGCCUUGGCAUCACCUUCCGGAUCGCGGUCUGCCUUUACCCUAAAUGAAUGCUUUUUGCUGCGUGGACACUGACUUUUUUACUACGUCCGGCAUAUUUGCGGCUCAUCACAGAGAAGACCCCCAGGGCUCCGGGGCUGGUGAGCAAACAGGUGUGACGCCCACGGAGCUAUCCCAGUUUCCUGUUUUUCUCCAUGGCUCGGGAGCUAAAGGGUGGUUUUCUCCUGGACCUGAUCUUCUGCAGGGGAUCAGGGUGUUUCUUGGUGCCAGCCCAUUGGUGCCAGCAGUGGCCUUUCAGACUGUUUGGAACCAGAAGUCCCACGGAAGCCAUCAUUCAGAUACCAGGUGGGGAGGAGGGACUCCUCCAAGGUGUGACCUCUGCCUGACCCUGGAGCCGGAGCAGUCCGAAGGGACAUUGUUGGCUUUAAACUGCCCCAGAGGGAGUCAGCCAGCACCCCUCCGCUGCCUCGGGCUGCGCUGCUGGUGCAGGACCAGUCCGUCCGGGGGUGUGACCACUCUGUCCUGCCCUACCUAGUCAUCCAGCACCUGCGGAGUGGAUCCAGUGUCCACUGGCCUUGCUGCCACGCCACCCAGAGGGCCGCCGAGUGUGAGACUUUCCCUUAGUAAGUUUUUCUGGUUCUCGGACACCGUGGCAGCCUCUGUGGGCGUCUCAGCACCUUGGCCUUUCCCUGGUGCUGAGUCCGAGCUCACAGAACCCAGGCUCCCUCCGGAGCUGCCACUCUCCCCAGAACCAGCUGUUCCGCCGACCUUCUGUGACCUGGCUAUCCUAAAGCGACAGGUUCCCUGACAUGGGCCAGCAUGGAGCCUGUUGGGUGCUUGAGCUGUUUUAGAUGGUCUGUGCCCUCACUGUGGAGAAAAUCUAGAAAAUGGGGUCUUGCCCUGGCUGGCGUAGCUCAGUGGAUUGAGCGCGGGCCUGCGAACCAGAGUAUCGCGGUUCGAUUCCCAGUCAGGGCACAUGCCUGGGUUGCAGGCCAGUUCCCCACAGAGUAUGCAUGAGAGGCAACCAUACAUUGAUAUUUCUCUCCCAUUCUUUCUCCUUCCCUUCCCCUCUCUCGAAAAUAAAUAAAUAAAAUAAAAUAAAAAGAAAAUGGGGUCUCAGUUGUUUGAACAUUUUCAGGGCACACCUCCUACGGGGACCCUGGCUGAACGUGUGGUUAAAAACCUCAGUGCCGCUUCCACCGGUGUGGCUCAGUGGGUCGAGUGCCCUCCUGCUUCAACUCCUGGUCAGGGCACAUCUCACGCCUGGGUGGUGGGCCAGGUCGCUGGGUGGGUGUGUGCCAUAGGCAACCAGCUGAUGUUUUUCUCCCUCUUCCUCCCUCCCUUCCCCUCUCUUUAAAAAUAAAUAAAAUCUCAAAACAAACUAA